Molecule: ribosomal RNA, 253 nt
Filed under: uncultured bacterium
Lineage: Bacteria
Description: partial 16S ribosomal RNA
Rfam family: Bacterial small subunit ribosomal RNA
Source: RNAcentral
UACGAAGGGGGCUAGCGUUGUUCGGAAUCACUGGGCGUAAAGCGCACGCAGGCGGAUCGAUAAGGCGGGGGUGAAAGCCCGGGGCUCAACCUCGGAAUUGCCUUCGAUACUGUCGGUCUCGAGUCCGGGAGAGGUGAGUGGAAUUCCUAGUGUAGAGGUGAAAUUCGUAGAAAUUAGGAAGAACACCAGUGGCGAAGGCGGCUCACUGGCCCGGUACUGACGAUCAGGUGCGAAAGCGUGGGGAGCAAACAGG